CAAUAGCGUAUAUUAAAGUUGUUGCAGUUAAAAAGCUCGUAGUUGGAUUUCGGGGUGGCCUGGCUGGUCCGCCGCAAGGUGAGUACUGGUCAGCCGCCCUUCCUCUCGAAAGCCCCGACUGCUCUUUACUGCAGUGGUCGGGUAGUUCGGGACGCUUACUUUGAAAAAAUUAGAGUGUUCAAGGCAGGCUAUCGCCUGAAUACAUUAGCAUGGAAUAAUGGAAGAGGACCUCGGUCCUAUUUUGUUGGUUUCUAGGGCCGAAGUAAUGAUUAAGAGGGACAGUUGGGGGCAUUCGUAUUUAAUUGUCAGAGGUGAAAUUCUUGGAUUUAUGAAAGACGAACUAGUGCGAAAGCAUUUGCCAAGGAUGUUUUCAUUAA
RNAcentral lists this ribosomal RNA (377 nucleotides) under uncultured eukaryote. RNAcentral describes it as "partial 18S ribosomal RNA". It matches the Rfam family "Eukaryotic small subunit ribosomal RNA", at positions 592 to 976 of the family's 1831-position model. The record is from RNAcentral.